GGAGAGGUGCCGGAGUGGUCGAACGGGGCGGUCUCGAAAACCGUUGUCCCUUAACGAGGGACCCAGGGUUCGAAUCCCUGUCUCUCCGCCA
This 91-nucleotide transfer RNA is filed under the name Aestuariivita sp. RNAcentral describes it as "tRNA-Ser". It matches the Rfam family "tRNA". Rfam says of the family: Transfer RNA (tRNA) molecules are approximately 80 nucleotides in length. Their secondary structure includes four short double-helical elements and three loops (D, anti-codon, and T loops). Further hydrogen bonds mediate the characteristic L-shaped molecular structure. tRNAs have two regions of fundamental functional importance: the anti-codon, which is responsible for specific mRNA codon recognition, and the 3' end, to which the tRNAs corresponding amino acid is attached (by aminoacyl-tRNA synthetases). tRNAs cope with the degeneracy of the genetic code in two manners: having more than one tRNA (with a specific anti-codon) for a particular amino acid; and 'wobble' base-pairing, i.e. permitting non-standard base-pairing at the 3rd anti-codon position. The record is from RNAcentral. Lineage: Bacteria; Pseudomonadati; Pseudomonadota; Alphaproteobacteria; Rhodobacterales; Paracoccaceae.